This 2782-nucleotide small RNA is filed under the name Pongo abelii (Sumatran orangutan). Its description in RNAcentral is "retained intron". The record is from RNAcentral. Lineage: Eukaryota; Metazoa; Chordata; Mammalia; Primates; Hominidae.
GCUGCUGCCGGCUGCGCCAUCCAGCACCCAGACUCCAGCACCGGCCAAGGACCCCUACUCCGGCUGCAGAGACCCUGUCCCAGCGAGACCGCAGGCAUGUCAUCCGAAAAGUCAGGUAAAAACAAUAACAAAACCUCCCACUCCCUCCACUGUCUCCAGACUCUCCGUCCCCCUUGCCCCAACCCCCUCCCUUACCCGUCCUCAGCUGUGGUUCUAUUUCAUUUCCCUUCUCUCCAGCUCUCAACACUCCCCCAGUCCUCCUCUUCUUUCUGUCUCCCCCUUUCUCUUCCUUUCCUCUUUCCAGUCGCAGCCUCUGCCCCUUGCCAACAACAUGGGCAGGGGGGUAGGUUGAGAAGGUGAAGGAGCUACAGCCAGGUUCUGCAGGGAUGGCAUCAUUGGGAGUGACAGAUGGACAAUCACUGGCUGGCAUGGAGACAUCCUGUGGGGAAAUAUGGAGACAUGACCAGAUGGGGGUUGUCAAGGGAGCAAAAUCCAGAGGGCUCUUCUUAAUCUGCCCUAAAAGAGGUCCCGAGAUUCUCACAGAGGCUGGGGCACUCCUCCCCCCACUGAAGGAACAGCAGAGUGGAACACAUGUCAUCCCACAUGUGUUUAUACAACUGUUGAAUUGAGCACAUAUUAACACAGGGUUGCAUGUCUAUGCAUACGCACACACAGGACUAGCUCGGAUAGGCCAGCCCAAAGGCAGCUAUAGCAAAGGAGAGGGGAUUGGGUCUGCAGGUGAGAGCUGGGUGCAUGGUGAUGAAAAAGACAGAAAAGAAGCAGACCAGAGUUGUGACCUCAAAACUAGAUUGGAAGGAAGAAGGAGGGGGGCAGAUGGCCUAGAUACAGCCCCUCUCUUGCCCCCUCAAAUUAGAGAUGGUUUCUCACCCGUCUCUCUCUGUGUGUCUCUCCCAUUAUCUUUCUCCAUCCCUGACCGGCUGUGUUUCCCCUUACCCCCUCCUCAACUCAUCACUGUGUCAUCUUUCGUCUUAUACUCUCCUCCACUCACCUCCCCCAGGACUCCCAGACUCAGUCCCUCACACUUCUCCACCGCCCUACAAUGCCCCUCAGCCUCCAGCCGAACCCCCAGCCCCACCGCCACAGGCAGCCCCUUCCUCACACCAUCACCACCACCACCACUACCAUCAGUCUGGCACCGCCACCCUCCCGCGCUUAGGGGCAGGGGGCCUGGCCUCUUCCGCGGCCACCGCUCAGCGCGGUCCCUCCUCCUCCGCCACGCUGCCGAGGCCCCCCCACCACGCCCCUCCCGGCCCUGCUGCCGGGGCACCCCCACCCGGCUGCGCUACCUUGCCCCGCAUGCCACCCGACCCUUACCUGCAGGAGACUCGCUUCGAGGGCCCACUUCCCCCGCCUCCGCCCGCUGCCGCCGCCCCGCCCCCGCCAGCGCCAGCCCAGACUGCUCAGGCCCCCGGCUUCGUGGUGCCCACGCACGCGGGGACUGUGGGCACGCUGCCGCUGGGGGGCUACGUAGCGCCCGGAUACCCCCUGCAGCUGCAGCCCUGCACUGCUUACGUGCCGGUCUACCCGGUGGGCACGCCAUAUGCAGGCGGGACCCCGGGGGGGACAGGAGUGACCUCCACUCUCCCCCCGCCGCCCCAGGGCCCAGGGCUGGCCCUACUGGAGCCGAGGCGCCCGCCACACGACUACAUGCCCAUCGCGGUGCUGACCACCAUCUGUUGCUUCUGGCCUACUGGCAUCAUUGCUAUCUUCAAGGCCGUGCAGGUGCGCACGGCCUUGGCCCGCGGAGACAUGGUGUCGGCCGAGAUCGCUUCACGCGAGGCCCGGAACUUCUCCUUCAUCUCCCUGGCCGUGGGCAUCGCGGCCAUGGUGCUCUGUACCAUCCUCACUGUAGUCAUCAUCAUCGCCGCGCAGCACCACGAGAACUACUGGGAUCCCUAAAAACACCCCCGGUCCGGCCCCACUCUGCGCCCCUCGAUCUCCCAGGCUCUUUCUGCAGUCAUACCGCGGACCCAAUGGGCGCCCUGCACACCCGUUUCUGGGGCCGUCAGACUUGGCUACAUCGUAAACUCCGCCUCCACGGAACGUCUCGCCUUGCGAGCAAGCUCCGAAUCCAGUUCCUCAGGAACCCCUCCAAAACCCACACCCCCAGGGACGCCGCUUUCCGGGAUCCCAGCCAAACGCGGGACCCUCAGUCGCUCCAGGCCCCCUCACCCUCAAAGUGUAGCGCCCCCAACCGAGCAACCUCGGUUUGGUCCCUAAAACCCCGCCUCCUCUAUAAGCUCCGCCCCAGCUCUGACAAAACCCCGCCUCCAGGUCGGCAGGCUCCGCCUUCUUUUCUUCUCCGCGGGGUGAUUCAGUCCAGUGAUUGGGUUUGUGGCUCCAGGCUUCACCCACAGACGGACAGACCCCUCCCUUUCUUCCGGCAAAAGGACAGAGCCCUAGGGUAGUAAGGCCCCCACACUCCUGUUUUUUGCAAGUACAUUUUUGUCCCUCCUCCACCCAGGUCUCUGCCUAUUUUCUUGCUAAUCCCAGAACCUUUCCUUUUGUUUUUUUAAGGACAUUUGGGAAGUUCCUGGUGUAGGACCCUUCUCCCUGGGAUAAGAAACCUGCCUGUAAACGCUCUGUAAAUACUCCCUUCCACCCACCCCAGCCCCUGGGCAGCCGGGCAGAAGGGAAUCCAGGCUAUGGACCUCCCAAGUCCCCGCUCCCCGCUCCCCUCGGCGGCCCCGCCUUGUUCUGAUCUGUGUGUGAGUGUGUGUGAACUUCUGAAAGACAAUAUUAAAGAGACUUAGUUGAUUUA